Molecule: long non-coding RNA, 1385 nt
Organism: Dicentrarchus labrax (European seabass)
Lineage: Eukaryota; Metazoa; Chordata; Actinopteri; Moronidae
Exons: 2
Source: RefSeq, a predicted model, not a curated record
GGGGAGAAAGGAGGGAGUAAAAAGGAGGGAGUAAAAAGGAGGGAGCAGCCCGGUUAUUAAAGUCCAAACACAGAGAGAUGAAAAAACUCUGCAGACUAAAAAUCCAGCUGCUGUUACAGUUGUUGGGAGGCUUUUGAUAAACACAGAAAAUGUCACAUACGGGAAUGUUGUGCGACCAAUAAGCAUCCAGCAGGUUUAUUUUGGCAGGCUGACUGCGCAUGGCUACAGUCAAUAUGGAAACAUUACGGAGAGAAUUAGCGAACAAAUUGUGGGCACGUCAGGUUAGUACGCCACCGAGGCGACAGCCCGGGGAUCCAGAAACACUGUAACAACACAGGAAACUCGUGCCAUAACUUUACGACUGCGAGCCAGACAGUAAACAAACCGGACAGGAGCCAAUGGGAGCUCAAGAUCAUCGCUGUGACAUUCGGAAAGGGCUGAAAACUGAGCGCCGUGGUCCCGCCCACCAUUGACUUUGUUCAGUGGGCUGCUGGAGGAGGAGGUCACAGACAUGGAAGCAGACGAAAACUUUGGAUGGUGAAAAAGCGGUUUGUUUUCCUCAUCAACCUGAAUAUGUCAAAGUAAUCCAUUGGUUUUUUUUAAUUUAUUUUUUUUAUGUCUCCACUGACAUUGUGCUUGGACAACGCUGGGAAUGCUGCCAACAGGAAGCAGCAGUCAGUUUGAACUGACUGGAUCACUGCAGGCGACAAUAUUUAAUAAGUAAAUGUUGGGUUUAGAUUUCUAUCUUUUAACUUUUGAUCAAUCAUUCAUUUUUAUAUUGACAGGAAAAGUUUGUGUAUCAGUGUUGCUUUUUUUCUAUUUCACAAUGUUUAACUUUUGGUACUUUUAAACAUUUUAAAAUAGGCAUUUUUUUUAUUUAUUAUUAUUGGUUUACAUUAUAUUUGUAUUCAGAUUUGUGUUAUACUUACAUUGUAAACCUUGUACAAUCUGCUGUGGUGAUACUGCAUUUAAUUAUGGUCAUGCAAAUAAAAUUUCAUUUAAUUGGAAAUUUUUUAGGCUACUUUUUUAUAGUAAGUAAUCGAAUUAUGAAGAUAGUAUUACAGAUGUUGUCUUGAAAAUGGCCUAAAAGCUGCUAUAAUGCACUUUAAGUCAAUUAGACUGACUUAUUACUGUCCUAUUACAGUUUAACUGUAAUUUAUGGACUAACAUAUUAAGGAGAGAGACAGAAAGACAAGGAGCCUGGAAGAACAUCUAUGAAGAAUUGUGCAACAGGGCAAUAAAUGUUCCCUCCUUUAAACCAGGACUAAAUUAUUAUUAUUACUCUGUAGAGGAUGUCUCCCACUUUGAAGGUUCACUUUAGAGCUACAUUCUGCAACAAACUUAGUCAGUUCUGUGUAACAGAAAUAAAGUCAGUUUGUUUAUAA